This 121-nucleotide non-coding RNA is filed under the name Deltaproteobacteria bacterium. Its description in RNAcentral is "SAM-I sequence". It matches the Rfam family "SAM riboswitch aptamer (S box leader)". Rfam says of the family: The SAM riboswitch is found upstream of a number of genes which code for proteins involved in methionine or cysteine biosynthesis in Gram-positive bacteria. The SAM riboswitch acts at the level of transcription termination control. Lineage: Bacteria; Pseudomonadati; Myxococcota; Myxococcia. The record is from RNAcentral.
UGCUUAUUCAGAGUGGUGGAGGGACUGGCCCUGUGAAACCACAGCAACCGGCCUGUUGCAAACGGGCGGCAGGUGCUAACUCCAGCAAGGUUUGUGAUUAAAAAGCCUUGAAAGAUAAGAU